GAUGAAGAACGUAGCGAAAUGCGAUACGUAAUGUGAAUUGCAGAAUUCAGUGAAUCAUCGAAUCUUUGAACGCACAUUGCGCCCCUUGGUAUUCCAUGGGGCAUGCCUGUUCGAGCGUCAUUUGUACCUUCAAGCUUUGCUUGGUGUUGGGUGUUUGUCUCGCCUUUGCGUGUAGACUCGCCUUAAAAUAAUUGGCAGCCGGCGUAUUGAUUUCGGAGCGCAGUACAUCUCGCGCUUUGCACUCAUAACGACAGCGUCCAAAAGUACAUUUUACACUCUUGACCUCGGAUCAGGUAGGGAUACCCGCUGAACUUAAGCAUAUCAAUAAGCGGAGGA
Molecule: unclassified non-coding RNA, 336 nt
Filed under: soil metagenome
Description: partial contains 5.8S ribosomal RNA, internal transcribed spacer 2, and large subunit ribosomal RNA
Rfam family: 5.8S ribosomal RNA (bases 1-120)
Source: RNAcentral